GUUUGAAAGGAGUGAAGACCUUUAUUUCCUCUGAUCCAUUGUUCCGAUUUUGGAUGGAACCCAGACAAUUUUUUUUUGAAUGUUUGUCAAUGUCCGGUAUCAAAGUGUUUCUGAGCUGCUUCGAUGGUAGAAUUUAUGUUGCUAAAGUGUUGUCAUGCAGGACUUUGUCAUAAGGAAUGGUCAGGCCAGGGAGAAAAACAAAACAAUGUUUUCUGGAGUAUUUUCCAGUGAUGAAUGUUUCCUCUUCCACGUGGGAUAAAUUCAGAAAAUGCUGAUGCUGCCUCAACUAUUCCCAUUUCCACUGUGUGCAGUUCCCUGCGCUUGUCCUUUAUUUGGAAUUUAGUUCCUCUGGAAUUCCAGAAAGACAACAGCACUCCACCCAAAUGCCAAUUACAUCUUGCUCCACAUCGUUAUCAUCCCACUUCUUCUCCGCUGCCUCAGAUAUGUCAUAUUUUUUGUCCAACAUCCAGGAUUAGAUGAGCAGUUUUCAUACAAUGAAGUAUUAUGAAAUUUGUGGGCGUUUCCCUUGUCUGCCGCCAACAGAUCAAUUCCAAGCCUAACAGUUCCAUUCCUUUCUCUAUAGCCACUGUCUGGUGCUGUGAUUUAAAGUUAUUUGACCCAAAGUUAUUUGACUUUCUAAUCCCACAUCCUCACUGUACGAAGUUUAACUCAAGUACUGUUGAAAUCUUCAUCCAUAUCUUUAAUUCAAAGUUUUAAUUUUUGAAUGGGUUCUGGCUCGCCUGGCAACCUCCAUUAAGUUGUAUUCAUCCAAGAUCUCCUGGUUGUAUUCAACUGAUACCAUCCACUUUGUCAAUGUUGCUAAGUCAUAUUUGAGUUACAGGCAGUUGCUGAGUUAGUUAAAUACUCAUUAGCAAUGCUGCUGAGUUAGUUAAAUACUAGUCUUUUUAAAAUCAUUCUGGAGACUU
Amblyraja radiata (thorny skate) is the source of this 926-nucleotide long non-coding RNA. RefSeq lists it as uncharacterized. The record is from RefSeq and is a predicted model, not a curated record. NCBI's taxonomy places the organism in Eukaryota, Metazoa, Chordata, Chondrichthyes, Rajiformes, Rajidae. The transcript has 4 exons.